UCUGGAAUGAGCGGCGGACGGGUGAGUAACACGUGGGCAACCUGCCUGUAAGACUGGGAUAACCCCGGGAAACCGGGGCUAAUACCGGAUAAUACUUUCUUUUGCAUAAAGGAAAGUUGAAAGGCGGCUUCGGCUGUCACUUACAGAUGGGCCCGCGGCGCAUUAGCUAGUUGGUGAGGUAACGGCUCACCAAGGCGACGAUGCGUAGCCGACCUGAGAGGGUGAUCGGCCACACUGGGACUGAGACACGGCCCAGACUCCUACGGGAGGCAGCAGUAGGGAAUCUUCCGCAAUGGACGAAAGUCUGACGGAGCAACGCCGCGUGAGUGAUGAAGGUUUUCGGAUCGUAAAACUCUGUUGUUAGGGAAGAACAAGUUGGGUAGUAACUGACCCAACCUUGACGGUACCUAACCAGAAAGCCACGGCUAACUACGUGCCAGCAGCCGCGGUAAUACGUAGGUGGCAAGCGUUGUCCGGAAUUAUUGGGCGUAAAGCGCUCGCAGGCGGUCCUUUAAGUCUGAUGUGAAAUCUCGCGGCUCAACCGCGAACGGUCAUUGGAAACUGGAGGACUUGAGUACAGAAGAGGAGAGUGGAAUUCCACGUGUAGCGGUGAAAUGCGUAGAGAUGUGGAGGAACACCAGUGGCGAAGGCGACUCUCUGGUCUGUAACUGACGCUGAGGAGCGAAAGCGUGGGGAGCGAACAGGAUUAGAA
This 712-nucleotide ribosomal RNA is filed under the name Oceanobacillus sp. WJ2-1. Its description in RNAcentral is "bacterial SSU rRNA". It matches the Rfam family "Bacterial small subunit ribosomal RNA", at positions 85 to 783 of the family's 1533-position model. Lineage: Bacteria; Bacillati; Bacillota; Bacilli; Caryophanales; Bacillaceae. The record is from RNAcentral.